UUUUUAUUUCUCAUUAAUGCAUAUGCUCUACAAACAUUGAAUAAUGUGAAUUUACAUGGAAGUGAACAGAUUAUUUGUAGCUUUUUCUUUGCACUACGUAGAAAGGAAUUGAUAGAGACUGAGCCUGCUGUGAGGGACACAGCUGAAAGGAGAGUCUUCACAGAGAGUCAAGUGACUUUUAUUUUGUAUUUUGGCAGAGUUCAGUCAAAUAUCAGGCAAAAACCUGCAAACCGAAUUCUUUCAGGAACCGGACAGAUUCACAGACCGUUUCAUUGAUAUUUUCACGUCCAAAAGAGGAGCAAUUGGCUGUAAACUGAAGAACAUUCUACAGCAGAUUGAUAAAUCUGACAUCAAUGGCCGACGAAC
This is a long non-coding RNA of Puntigrus tetrazona (Sumatra barb), 366 nucleotides long. RefSeq lists it as uncharacterized. The transcript is spliced from 3 exons. Lineage: Eukaryota; Metazoa; Chordata; Actinopteri; Cypriniformes; Cyprinidae. The record is from RefSeq and is a predicted model, not a curated record.